AUUGAACGCUGGCGGCAUGCCUUACACAUGCAAGUCGAACGGUAACAGGUCUUCGGAUGCUGACGAGUGGCGAACGGGUGAGUAAUACAUCGGAACGUGCCUAGUAGUGGGGGAUAACUACUCGAAAGAGUGGCUAAUACCGCAUGAGAUCUACGGAUGAAAGCAGGGGAUCGCAAGACCUUGUGCUACUAGAGCGGCCGAUGGCAGAUUAGGUAGUUGGUGGGAUAAAAGCUUACCAAGCCGACGAUCUGUAGCUGGUCUGAGAGGACGAUCAGCCACACUGGGACUGAGACACGGCCCAGACUCCUACGGGAGGCAGCAGUGGGGAAUUUUGGACAAUGGGCGCAAGCCUGAUCCAACAAUGCCGCGUGCAGGAUGAAGGCCUUCGGGUUGUAAACUGCUUUUGUACGGAACGAAAAGCCCCGGGUUAAUACCCUGGGGUCAUGACGGUACCGUAAGAAUAAGCAUCGGCUAACUACGUGCCAGCCGCCGCGGUAA
Molecule: ribosomal RNA, 498 nt
Filed under: uncultured bacterium
Lineage: Bacteria
Description: partial 16S ribosomal RNA
Rfam family: Bacterial small subunit ribosomal RNA
Source: RNAcentral